This 253-nucleotide ribosomal RNA is filed under the name uncultured bacterium. RNAcentral's name for it is "partial 16S ribosomal RNA". It matches the Rfam family "Bacterial small subunit ribosomal RNA", at positions 524 to 776 of the family's 1533-position model. The record is from RNAcentral.
UACGAAGGAUCCAAGCGUUAUCCGGAUUUAUUGGGUUUAAAGGGUGCGUAGGCGGGCUAUUAAGUCAGUGGUGAAAGCCCCAAGCUUAACUUGGGAAUUGCCAUUGAUACUGAUGGUCUUGAGUACACUUGAAGUGGGCGGAAUGUGUCAUGUAGCGGUGAAAUGCUUAGAUAUGACACAGAACACCGAUUGCGAAGGCAGCUCACUAAACUUUAACUGACGCUGAGGCACGAAAGCGUGGGGAGCAAACAGG